UACGAAGGGGGCUAGCGUUUUUCGGAAUUACUGGGCGUAAAGCGCACGUAGGCGGGUCGUUAAGUCAGGGGUGAAAUCCCGGAGCUCAACUCCGGAACUGCCUUUGAUACUGGCGAUCUAGAGAUCGAGAGAGGUGAGUGGAAUUCCGAGUGUAGAGGUGAAAUUCGUAGAUAUUCGGAAGAACACCAGUGGCGAAGGCGGCUCACUGGCUCGAUACUGACGCUGAGGUGCGAAAGCGUGGGGAGCAAACAGG
RNAcentral lists this ribosomal RNA (253 nucleotides) under uncultured bacterium. Its description in RNAcentral is "partial 16S ribosomal RNA". It matches the Rfam family "Bacterial small subunit ribosomal RNA", at positions 524 to 776 of the family's 1533-position model. The record is from RNAcentral.